UGGUGUUCAGAGCAAAAUGAUGCUGGA
RNAcentral lists this non-coding RNA (27 nucleotides) under Homo sapiens (human). The record is from RNAcentral. Lineage: Eukaryota; Metazoa; Chordata; Mammalia; Primates; Hominidae.